GAUGAACGCUGGCGGCGUGCCUAAUACAUGCAAGUCGAGCGAACGGACGAGACGCUUGCUUCGCUCAUGUUAGCGGCGGACGGGUGUGUAACAUGUGUAUAACCUACUUAUCAUACUGGGAUAACUUCGGGAAACCGGAUCUUAUACCGUAUAAUAUUCUGAACCGCAUUGUCGAAAAGUGAAAGUCGGUGCUGCUGUCACUUCUAGAUGGAUCUGCGCUGCAUUAGCUAGUUGUUAAGUUAACGGCUUAUCAAGGCAACGAUGCAUAGCCGACCUGAGAGGGUGGUAGGCGGCCUUAGAGCUGGGACGCGGUCCAGAGUCCUGCGAGAGGCAGCAGUCGGGAACCGUACGCAGUAGGCGAAAACAUGACAGAGUAGCGGCGCGUGAGAGAUGACGGUGUUGGGAGCGGAAAACUCUCUUAUGAGGGAAGAACCUAUGUGUAAGGAACUGUAGACAUCGUGACGGUAACUAAUCAGAAAGCAACGGCUAACUACGUG
This 497-nucleotide ribosomal RNA is filed under the name uncultured bacterium. RNAcentral's name for it is "partial 16S ribosomal RNA". It matches the Rfam family "Bacterial small subunit ribosomal RNA", at positions 28 to 507 of the family's 1533-position model. The record is from RNAcentral.